AGUUGGGCGUCUUCUCCAAACACCUUUCUUUCUUAUUUUUUUUUUAAGUUAUUUGCCACUGUACUCCCAAGGAUUCAAUCAGUUUUUUUACUUUGCUUCUUCACAGUGUUUUCUUUACAAAAAAAACUGAAGUGAGAAAAUGACCGCCUGGUGGAGAAUAAAGCAUCACAAUGGCAGCACAAAAGAGUUGCUCCUGGAAUCAAGGCCCUGGGGUCAUGUUACAGCAUCUGCUGCUUUCUCGCCACAUGACAGUGAUCGAAUCAUUGUAUCUGUCUGACUCUACAAAGUGGGCAUGCUUCUGUGACUUGUAAUGGUAGAAGUACAGACUCCGGGAUGUGAAGGGCUAGAGUCCUCUGGUGGUGCUCUGGUCUCUCAGGUCUUUUCUAAGUUCUUCUAACUUAAUCGGAGGUGAUACUCAUAUAGUGCCAGCACUGGACCUGCUUACUAGAACACACUCAAUUACUUCAUGAGCGGAGUUAGUUCAGUUCAUACCAUACCCUUGGGGGUGGGGGGAAGCCUAUUUAUUUUACCUCAUACACAAUUUUUUAUUGUUAAAGGUGUUUAAAUUAAUUGUACCCUUUGUUCCCUGUUGAAAAACAGAACUCAGAUGUAAGUGGUGAUCAAGUAAUUAUAGUUCCAUCAUGCGGGUGUUGUAGGGAAGAAUGAACAGCAAAGGCCUACCUGAGGAUUAAGUUGUACGAUUAAAGGUUAAUACUUUCUCAACACAAACAUACGGGUCUCUCCUUCAUCCUGUAACUCUUACAGUUAAUUUUGGUAACUUGAGACACACACAAAGCACUAAAGCCGACUAGGUCUUCAUUGAUUGCAUGUUCCUUAGAAAAGAUGAAGUGUAGGGAAAAUUAUUCUUAGUACUACUGAUACAAAUCAAACUAUUAGGUGCCUUUCAGCAUAGUGCAUAUGGUAUCUGAACCUUUGUCACCUAUGAAAUUUUUGUCCAAAUCACUUCGCAGUUGCCGUGUUUUAAAGGAACCCCUCAAAAUCCCCCGCUGGUAAGUUCUCCUUUCCCUGUUUUACUGGUUUUGAACCUCAUACCGUUUUACUGAAUAAACAUUUUCUCCCAACUC
RNAcentral lists this long non-coding RNA (1085 nucleotides) under Bos taurus (domestic cattle). RNAcentral's name for it is "long non-coding RNA NONBTAT005937". Lineage: Eukaryota; Metazoa; Chordata; Mammalia; Artiodactyla; Bovidae. The record is from RNAcentral.